GUGUCAGCCGCCGCGGUAAUACAGAGGGUGCAAGCGUUGCUCGGAUUUACUGGGCGUAAAGCGUACGCAGACGGUGAGGAAGGUCGGAUGUGAAAGCCCUGGGCUCAACCCAGGAACUGCAUCCGAAACCCCCUCGCUAGAGUAUAGGAGAGGGAAGCGGAAUUCCUGGUGUAGAGGUGAAAUUCGUAGAUAUCAGGAGGAACAUCUGCGGCGAAGGCGGCUUCCUGGCCUAUUACUGACGUUCAGGUACGAAAGCGUGGGUAGCAAACAGGAUUAGAUACCCUGGUAGUCCACGCCGUAAACGAUGAGUGCUGGAUGUCGGGGGUAUUCACCCCCUCGGUAUCGAAGCCAACGCGAUAAGCACUCCGCCUGGGGAGUACGGCCGCAAGGUUGAA
Molecule: ribosomal RNA, 395 nt
Filed under: uncultured bacterium
Lineage: Bacteria
Description: bacterial SSU rRNA
Rfam family: Bacterial small subunit ribosomal RNA
Source: RNAcentral